RNAcentral lists this unclassified non-coding RNA (723 nucleotides) under Hevea brasiliensis (rubber tree). Lineage: Eukaryota; Viridiplantae; Streptophyta; Magnoliopsida; Malpighiales; Euphorbiaceae. The record is from RNAcentral.
GUGCUCUUACACGUGGAGGUCCUGGUGGACUACCUAGACCAAUAGAGGUUCAUGCACAUGAUCCAUUACGUUAUGUGGGUGACAUGCUAGGAUGGUUGCAUCAGGCCUUGGCAUCUGAACGAGAACUUGUUCUUGUGUUACUUGAUCCAGAUGCUGUGGUAGAUGCUGGAUCCUCUGCAAAUCGAUUGCCCAAGAAUUUGGAGAAUGGUACUGGAAAGACACAAUCAGACUUGACAUUUGUGUUGGAUAGAAUUUUUGAAGGAGUUUGCCGGCCUUUUAAAGUUCGAGUUGAACAAGUUUUGCAGUCACAGCCUAGUCUUAUAAUUGCAUACAAACUGAGUAAUACACUGGGAUUUUACAGCUACACUAUAUCAGAUUUGCUUGGGAGAGAUACAGCGCUCUAUAGUACACUUUCGAUGCUCAAGGAUGCUGCACAGAAAACAUUUUUUGACAUUCUCAAAAGUCGGGGGGAGAAGCUUUUACGCUAUCCUCCCCUUGUCGCUGUUGAUCUUUCCCCACCUGAAGCAGUGCGGGAAGGAGUCUCUGUUCUACUUGAAAUAAUUGAGACUCAUGACAGCAUGAUGGUUCCUGCUUCAGAGAAAAAGCCUGAUUUUGAUCCUGUGAUAUCUGCUAUACUUGAUCCUAUCAUUCAGAUGAGCAAGCCGCAGAGGCACACAAGUCCAAGGGUGCUGGUCACUUGACAAGAAGAAGAAUGAGUUCAGA